AUGGAGGCUCCACAGUCUCGGCCUUGGUCAGAUCUUCAGUCGGAACUCCUGGGCCUUAUCCUCAAGCGCCUCCCCGUCCUGGCUGAUCGUGUUCGUCUGAGAGCAGUAUGUCAACCAUGGCGCUCUAAUAGUUUGGAGCAGCACCUUCCCCUCCCAUUCCCAUGGCUCACUCUCCCCGAUGGCACCUUCCUCAACAUUCCUGGUGGUGAAAUUCACCGCAUGCCUAUACCAGAAGGCGCUUGUUGCCAAGGCUCCAUUGACAACUGGCUAUUUCUCACGCACAAUGAUGAUGUAUGCUCAUUGAUGAACCCUUUCUCCAAUACCACGCUGGAGCUUCCUAAGCUAGCCAGAGAAUGGAAGCGUGUGAUAGGUCCCUGCUCCAGAUUUAAGCCAAUUUUCUAUAAGUUGGUGGUGCCCUCACCGCUGGACUCAUCACCCAAUUCCUUGGUUGCUGCGCUAAUCAUGGAUGAUUCUAAUUGCCGCACACUUUGCAUUAGCCAGCCCCCAAUCGCCACUGACUCACUCAGAGGUGACAGGUAUCCAAUAACUAGACUUUCAGAUAUUGCAUUCUUUGAUGGAAAGUUGUACGCGUUGAGCGGAGUUGGCCAGCUUUUGAUAUUUGAGCUGGACGAUGACCUUGUUAUUUCAUCCUUCGAGAGCAUAAUUGACUCUUUGGGUGAUUUAAGUUUAGUUCCUCAACCCUUGGCCCCAGGGGAUCCAUUUACUAUAAGGGAGUAUCUAGUUGAAUGUGGUGGUAGACUGUUGAUGGUGACACGAUGGAUUCACCGGGUGAACAUUUCUGCAAGUGACGAUGGCUUUGAAGAUAAACGCACGGCUGCACUUGAGGUCUUUGAGGCAGAUUUGCAGAGCAGCCCCCGUCGUCGAUGGAGAAGGGUCCAUGAUUUGGGUGGCCAUGCACUCUUUCUUGGCCAACAUGGCUCCAAGUCCCUGCCCCCUGCAGAAUGCAGUGAAUACCAAGAGGAUUGCAUCUACUUCAUGUGUGACUAUCCCUUGCCGAGCUCUUCUGCAAAUCCUCUUCGCGACUCCGGUGUAUACAACGUCAGGAAUGGGAUGAUCACACCAUUGAUGUCAGAGACAGCAGCUGUGCCGCUAGAGCGUGUUGGGCAGUGGCGUCCGGCAUGGGUUUUCCCUUCGGCAGCUAUGUGA
RNAcentral lists this ribosomal RNA (1167 nucleotides) under Triticum aestivum (bread wheat). Its description in RNAcentral is "partial small subunit ribosomal RNA". Lineage: Eukaryota; Viridiplantae; Streptophyta; Magnoliopsida; Poales; Poaceae. The record is from RNAcentral.